Molecule: ribosomal RNA, 292 nt
Filed under: uncultured bacterium
Lineage: Bacteria
Description: partial 16S ribosomal RNA
Rfam family: Bacterial small subunit ribosomal RNA
Source: RNAcentral
GUGCCAGCCGCCGCGGUAAUACAGAGGCCCCAAGCGUUACUGAGAAUCACUGGGUUUAAAGGGUGCGUAGGUGGUCCGUUAAGUCUGUUGUGAAAGCCCUUGGCUCAACCAAGGAAUUGCUUCGGAUACUGGCGGACUUGAGGCUAGUAGAGGUCACUGGAACUGACGGUGGAGCGGUGAAAUGCGUAGAUAUCGUCAGGAACGCCGGUGGUGAAGACGGGUGACUGGGCUAGUUCUGACACUGAGGCACGAAAGCGUGGGGAGCGAACGGGAUUAGAAACCCGCGUAGUCC